ACUCAAAGGAAUUGACGGGGGCCCGCACAAGCGGAGGAGCAUGUGGUUUAAUUCGAUGAUACGCGAGGAACCUUACCCGGGCUUGAAAGUUAGUGAAUGAUCCAGAGACGGAUCAGUCCUUCGGGACACGAAACUAGGUGCUGCAUGGCUGUCGUCAGCUCGUGCCGUGAGGUGUUGGGUUAAGUCCCGCAACGAGCGCAACCCCUAUGUUUAGUUGCCAGCACAUUAAGGUGGGGACUCUAAACAGACUGCCAGCGUAAGCUGUGAGGAAGGUGGGGACGACGUCAAGUCAUCAUGGCCCUUACGUCCGGGGCUACACACGUGCUACAAUGGACGGUACAGCGGGCAGCUACAUAGCAAUAUGAUGCUAAUCUCUAAAAGCCGUUCACAGUUCGGAUUGAGGUCUGCAACUCGACCUCAUGAAGUUGGAUUCGCUAGUAAUCGCGUAUCAGCAAUGACGCGGUGAAUACGUUCCCGGGCCUUGCACACACCGCCCGU
Molecule: ribosomal RNA, 498 nt
Filed under: uncultured bacterium
Lineage: Bacteria
Description: partial 16S ribosomal RNA
Rfam family: Bacterial small subunit ribosomal RNA
Source: RNAcentral